UACGAAGGGGGCUAGCGUUGUUCGGAGUUACUGGGCGUAAAGGGCGCGUAGGCGGCGAGUACAGUUUGGCGUGAAAGCCCGGGGCUCAACCUCGGAAUUGCGCUGAAUACUAGCUCGCUUGAGUACCGGAGAGGAUAGUGGAAUUCCCAGUGUAGAGGUGAAAUUCGUAGAUAUUGGGAAGAACACCAGUGGCGAAGGCGGCUAUCUGGACGGUAACUGACGCUGAGGCGCGAAAGCGUGGGGAGCAAACAGG
Molecule: ribosomal RNA, 253 nt
Filed under: uncultured bacterium
Lineage: Bacteria
Description: partial 16S ribosomal RNA
Rfam family: Bacterial small subunit ribosomal RNA
Source: RNAcentral